RNAcentral lists this ribosomal RNA (374 nucleotides) under uncultured eukaryote. RNAcentral describes it as "partial 18S ribosomal RNA". It matches the Rfam family "Eukaryotic small subunit ribosomal RNA", at positions 592 to 976 of the family's 1831-position model. The record is from RNAcentral.
CAAUAGCGUAUAUUUAAGUUGUUGCAGUUAAAAAGCUCGUAGUUGGAUUUCUGCUGAUCGCUGUCGGUCUGCCGUCAGGUGUGUACUGGCAGUGUUUGGCAUCUAUUCGAGAUUGGGUGUCCACUUGAUUGUGUGUACUCGAUGUCGGAGCUAAUACUUUGAGAAAAUUAGAGUGUUCCACGCAGGCGCGUGCCUUGAAUACUGCAGCAUGGGAUAUUGGAAGGCCGAUUGAGCUUUCUUGUUGGUUCUCGGUUUGAUCGGAAUGAUUAAUAGGGAUAGUUGGGGGCAUUCGUAUUCAACUGUCAGAGGUGAAAUUCUUGGAUUUGUUGAAGACGGACUACUGCGAAAGCAUCUGCCAUGGAUGUUCUCAUUGA